AGGCCAGACACACAUCAACACUCCUUGCUAGA
Molecule: non-coding RNA, 32 nt
Filed under: Homo sapiens (human)
Lineage: Eukaryota; Metazoa; Chordata; Mammalia; Primates; Hominidae
Source: RNAcentral